RNAcentral lists this ribosomal RNA (843 nucleotides) under Vreelandella aquamarina. RNAcentral's name for it is "bacterial SSU rRNA". It matches the Rfam family "Bacterial small subunit ribosomal RNA", at positions 51 to 885 of the family's 1533-position model. The record is from RNAcentral. Lineage: Bacteria; Pseudomonadati; Pseudomonadota; Gammaproteobacteria; Oceanospirillales; Halomonadaceae.
ACACAUGCAAGUCGAGCGGAAACGAUCCUAGCUUGCUAGGAGGCGUCGAGCGGCGGACGGGUGAGUAAUGCAUAGGAAUCUGCCCGGUAGUGGGGGAUAACCUGGGGAAACCCAGGCUAAUACCGCAUACGUCCUACGGGAGAAAGCAGGGGAUCUUCGGACCUUGCGCUAUCGGAUGAGCCUAUGUCGGAUUAGCUAGUUGGUGAGGUAAUGGCUCACCAAGGCUGCGAUCCGUAGCUGGUCUGAGAGGAUGAUCAGCCACAUCGGGACUGAGACACGGCCCGAACUCCUACGGGAGGCAGCAGUGGGGAAUAUUGGACAAUGGGCGAAAGCCUGAUCCAGCCAUGCCGCGUGUGUGAAGAAGGCCUUCGGGUUGUAAAGCACUUUCAGUGAGGAAGAAGGCCUUGAGGUUAAUACCCUCGAGGAAGGACAUCACUCACAGAAGAAGCACCGGCUAACUCCGUGCCAGCAGCCGCGGUAAUACGGAGGGUGCGAGCGUUAAUCGGAAUUACUGGGCGUAAAGCGCGCGUAGGCGGCUUGAUAAGCCGGUUGUGAAAGCCCCGGGCUCAACCUGGGAACGGCAUCCGGAACUGUCAGGCUAGAGUGCAGGAGAGGAAGGUAGAAUUCCCGGUGUAGCGGUGAAAUGCGUAGAGAUCGGGAGGAAUACCAGUGGCGAAGGCGGCCUUCUGGACUGACACUGACGCUGAGGUGCGAAAGCGUGGGUAGCAAACAGGAUUAGAUACCCUGGUAGUCCACGCCGUAAACGAUGUCGACUAGCCGUUGGGCUCCUUGAGAGCUUUGUGGCGCAGUUAACGCGAUAAGUCGACCGCCUCGGAUAUGUAA